This 435-nucleotide ribosomal RNA is filed under the name Hemerotrecha denticulata. Its description in RNAcentral is "partial 16S ribosomal RNA". It matches the Rfam family "Bacterial large subunit ribosomal RNA", at positions 1914 to 2573 of the family's 2925-position model. Lineage: Eukaryota; Metazoa; Arthropoda; Arachnida; Solifugae; Eremobatidae. The record is from RNAcentral.
AAUGAUUGAUUUAAUAGCCGCAGUAUCUUGACUGUGCAAAGGUAGCAUAAUAAAUUGUCUUUUAAUUGGAGACUGGAAUGAAUGAUAGGAUGUGAUAAAUGCUGUCUUUAUGGUAACUGAUUGAAAUUUACUUUUUGAUGAAAAGGUUAAGAUUUAGCUGGUAGACGAGAAGACCCUAUCAAGCUUAAUUUUAUAAAUUAUUUUACUUUGUUUAGAUUGGAAGGUGAAUAUAUGAAUAAAAUUUUGUUGGGGCAAUGUUUGAAUAUAAUGUAAUUUUUUAUUUUUUAUUAGAAUUUGAUCCAUUUUUAGUGACUAAAAGAGUAAGUUACUGUAGGGAUAACAGCGUAAUUGAUUUGGAGAGUUCAUAUUGGUAAAUUAGAUUGCGACCUCGAUGUUGGUUUAAUGAUUCUUUAGGGUGCAGUAGUUCUAUAAGAA